Molecule: transfer RNA, 56 nt
Filed under: Impatiens grandis
Lineage: Eukaryota; Viridiplantae; Streptophyta; Magnoliopsida; Ericales; Balsaminaceae
Description: partial tRNA-Phe
Source: RNAcentral
GUCGCGAUAGCCCAAAAGGUAGAGCAAAGGACCGAAAAUCCUCGUGUCACCAGUUC